This 1153-nucleotide long non-coding RNA is filed under the name Homo sapiens (human). RNAcentral's name for it is "LHRI_LNC1510.1". The record is from RNAcentral. Lineage: Eukaryota; Metazoa; Chordata; Mammalia; Primates; Hominidae.
GCUUCUCUAAUUCUUUCAGUUGUGAUGUUAGGUUGUUAAUUUGAGAUAUUUCUAAUUUUUUGAUAUGGGCAUUACUUCUUAUGCCCUACUCUAAAUUUUGUUCUUCUAGAAAACUCAGAACUAUGCUUUCUAAACCAAUUCAAACUUUCUCAGUGAAUCAACCUGGACUCCCUGAGGCCAAGUUAGCAAUUUUCCAUUACACUUGGUUCUCUUUCUCUGUAAGAAUAUCUAAUGCAACAAUUCAAGUGUUUCUUUCCCUCCUGGUAAUGCGGGGAACUCCUUUUGGCUGAGACCAAGACUUAAAACCUUGUUCUUUCAACAUUAAUGAAGAUCUAUUUAGAAAGCCUCCAUUUUUGCAGAAAAGAUAUAUAAACACCAAUGAAAAUCAAUAUGAAAUUAUAUGACAUACAAUUAUAUUGUGGAAAGACUGAAUAAAUAAGUGAACUAAGCUCUAAGAAAAAAAGAUGAUGAUAUAAAAUGAUAUAGAAGUAAAAACCUGGGCUGGUAUAGCAUAAUUAAUGUAUCAGUAAAGUAUGUACAUUGUAGAAGUGGCAGGAAGACAGCAUAGAGAGUGAGACCUGACCAAAAGCUUUAAGGAAAGUUCUAUACCCUUAAACGAGAUUAAAGUGGACUCAGGAAAACAUGGGCCACAUGAGGGGAAGGACACAUGUUCCAGAUGAGCCAAAGCUCAGAGCAUCUCUACCUUCUCCAGGAGGAAAGGGGAGGCAAAGCAGCAGGCAGAAGACAGCACGGCCAGGUCAGCACAGGGCACCCAGGCCAAGCCAGGUGGGCUCCAUCAUACAGGUAGUGAGGAGUCACUGCCAGGUGGGCUUUAUUCAUUAGUUUGUUUUGUUUCUUUUAGUAACGAAGACACAUGAUCAAAGUUGACCUUUGUAAGUGUUGCUGCAGCUGAACAAAAAGAUGGAUAAGACCAGUGUUUUAAAAAUUAUGUUGUAUAGAGCACUAGCCUCAGUGAGAUAUUAGUAGAACACACAGGCACACACACACACACACACACUCACACUAAGCCCAGAUUAUUCUGGCAAAUGCUGGGUUAAGCAAACUAAAAGAAACAUCUUUAGUGCUGGACUUCUCAGAACCUGGAAUGUCGCUAUAUGACUCAUAAAACAGCAAGGUUAAGACAGAACAUGUC